This 529-nucleotide ribosomal RNA is filed under the name Psychrobacter sp. RNAcentral's name for it is "bacterial SSU rRNA". It matches the Rfam family "Bacterial small subunit ribosomal RNA", at positions 381 to 903 of the family's 1533-position model. The record is from RNAcentral. Lineage: Bacteria; Pseudomonadati; Pseudomonadota; Gammaproteobacteria; Moraxellales; Moraxellaceae.
ACCUGAUCAGCCAUGCCGCGUGUGUGAAGAAGGCCUUUUGGUUGUAAAGCACUUUAAGCAGUGAAGAAGACUCUUCGGUUAAUACCCGGGGACGAUGACAUUAGCUGCAGAAUAAGCACCGGCUAACUCUGUGCCAGCAGCCGCGGUAAUACAGAGGGUGCAAGCGUUAAUCGGAAUUACUGGGCGUAAAGCGAGCGUAGGUGGCUUGAUAAGUCAGAUGUGAAAUCCCCGGGCUUAACCUGGGAACUGCAUCUGAAACUGUUAGGCUAGAGUAGGUGAGAGGGAAGUAGAAUUYCAGGUGUAGCGGUGAAAUGCGUAGAGAUCUGRAGGAAUACCGAUGGCGAAGGCAGCUUCCUGGCAUCAUACUGACACUGAGGCUCGAAAGCGUGGGUAGCAAACAGGAUUAGAUACCCUGGUAGUCCACGCCGUAAACGAUGUCUACUAGUCGUUGGGUCCCUUGAGGACUUAGUGACGCAGCUAACGCAAUAAGUAGACCGCCUGGGGAGUACGGCCGCAAGGUUAAAACUCA